UACAGAGGGGGCAAGCGUUAUUCGGAAUUAUUGGGCGUAAAGGGCGCGUAGGCGGCCUGACAAGUGGAAGGUGAAAUCCCUCGGCUUAACCGAGGAGCUGCCCUCCAAACUGUUUGGCUUGAGUCCGGGAGAGGUGAGUGGAAUUCCCAGUGUAGCGGUGAAAUGCGUAGAUAUUGGGAGGAACACCAGUGGCGAAGGCGGCUCACUGGACCGGAACUGACGCUGAUGCGCGAAAGCUAGGGGAGCGAACGGG
Molecule: ribosomal RNA, 253 nt
Filed under: uncultured bacterium
Lineage: Bacteria
Description: partial 16S ribosomal RNA
Rfam family: Bacterial small subunit ribosomal RNA
Source: RNAcentral